RNAcentral lists this ribosomal RNA (490 nucleotides) under uncultured bacterium. Its description in RNAcentral is "partial 16S ribosomal RNA". It matches the Rfam family "Bacterial small subunit ribosomal RNA", at positions 28 to 507 of the family's 1533-position model. The record is from RNAcentral.
GAUGAACGCUAGCGAUAGGCUUAACACAUGCAAGUCGAGGGGCAGCAUGGUCUUAGCUUGCUAAGACUGAUGGCGACCGGCGCACGGGUGCGUAACGCGUAUGCAACUUGCCUCACAGAGGGGGAUAACCCGUCGAAAGACGGACUAAUACCGCGUACACUUGGGAUAGGGCAUCCUGACCCAAGGAAAUGAAAUUCGCUGUGAGAUAGGCAUGCGUCCCAUUAGCUAGUUGGUGAGGUAACGGCUCACCAAGGCGACGAUGGGUAGGGGAACUGAGAGGUUGAACCCCCACACUGGUACUGAGACACGGACCAGACUCCUACGGGAGGCAGCAGUGAGGAAUAUUGGUCGAUGGGCGAGAGCCUGAACCAGCCAAGUCGCGUGAAGGAUGACUGUCUUAUGGAUUGUAAACUUCUUUUAUACGGGAAUAACAAGAGUCACGUGUGGCUCCCUGCAUGUACCGUAUGAAUAAGCAUCGGCUAACUCCGUG